AUUGAACGCUGGCGGCAGGCCUAACACAUGCAAGUCGAGCGGAGCGGCGGACGGGUGAGUAAUGCCUAGGAAUCUGCCUGGUAGUGGUGGAUAACGUCCGGAAACGGGCGCUAAUACCGCAUACUAUCAGAUGAGCCUAGGUCGGAUUGGCUCGUUGGUGGGGUAAAGGCCUACCAAGGCGCCGAUGCGUAACGGGUCUGAGCGGAUGAUCAGUCACACGUGAACUGAGAAAAGGUCCAGACUCCGACGGGAGGCAGCAGUGGGGAAUAUUGGACAAGGGGCGAAAGCCUGAGCCAGCCAGGCCGCGUGUGGGAAGAAGGUCUUCGGAUUGUAAAGCACUUUAAGUUGGGAGGCGGUACCAAAAGAAUAAGCACCGGCUAACUUCGUGCCAGCAGCCGCGGUAAUUC
RNAcentral lists this ribosomal RNA (407 nucleotides) under uncultured bacterium. RNAcentral's name for it is "partial 16S ribosomal RNA". It matches the Rfam family "Bacterial small subunit ribosomal RNA", at positions 29 to 526 of the family's 1533-position model. The record is from RNAcentral.